GCCCAGGUCGCAUAGUCUGGUAUUGCGCAGACACAAAAUCGGGAUCAUGGGUUCAAAUCCCAUCCUGGGCGCCA
This 74-nucleotide transfer RNA is filed under the name Candidatus Woesearchaeota archaeon. RNAcentral's name for it is "tRNA-Leu". It matches the Rfam family "tRNA". Rfam says of the family: Transfer RNA (tRNA) molecules are approximately 80 nucleotides in length. The record is from RNAcentral. Lineage: Archaea; Nanobdellati; Candidatus Woesearchaeota.